RNAcentral lists this ribosomal RNA (253 nucleotides) under uncultured bacterium. Its description in RNAcentral is "partial 16S ribosomal RNA". It matches the Rfam family "Bacterial small subunit ribosomal RNA", at positions 524 to 776 of the family's 1533-position model. The record is from RNAcentral.
UACGUAGGGGGCGAGCGUUGUACGGAUUUACUGGGCGUAAAGCGCGUGUAGGCGGUCCCUUAAGUCCGGGGUGAAAGGCGGAGGCUCAACCUCCGAGCUGCGCCGGAAACUGGGGGUCUUGAAUGUCGGAGAGGGGCGUGGAAUUCCUGGUGUAGCGGUGAAAUGCGUAGAGAUCAGGAGGAACACCGGUGGCGAAGGCGGCGCCCUGGCCGAACAGUGACUUUGAGACGCGAAAGCGCGGGGAGCGAACGGG